Molecule: ribosomal RNA, 255 nt
Filed under: uncultured bacterium
Lineage: Bacteria
Description: partial 16S ribosomal RNA
Rfam family: Bacterial small subunit ribosomal RNA
Source: RNAcentral
CGGACGGGUGAGUAACGCGUGGGUAACCUGCCAUAUACAGGGGGAUAACAGCGAGAAAUUGCUGCUAAAACCGCAUAAGCGCACGGAGUCGCAUGACUCAGUGUGAAAAACUCCGGUGGUAUAUGAUGGACCCGCGUCUGAUUAGCCAGUUGGCGGGGUAACGGCCUACCAAAGCGACGAUCAGUAGCCGGCCUGAGAGGGUGGACGGCCACAUUGGGACUGAGACACGGCCCAAACUCCUACGGAAGGCAGCAG